GGUCAAAAUUUAAAUGAAGCUGCGUGUAUCACUGUUACGCCGCACAAGCCCAGAUUCACUUUUUCGCUAACUAGCGAGUGUGUUCGGUUCAAAAAUAAGGGCAAUCGGUGGAAAUGCAAUCGUCCGUGUCAUUCUCGUCAGCAACAGCCGCAGCUCCAUUCGGUGGGGUCAAAAGGUCGGCGAAAUCUUCGUUUCCGGUGAAAGCUCUCUAUACUUCGACGCCGAGAACCUUCGGCGAUCCUUCGGUCAUGGCGGCUCCGAAAUGGGCUCAGAAGACAAUAACCCUCCCUCCUCAGAAACGUGGUUGUCAUCUUAUAACUCCCAAGAUCUUGAAGGAAAUUGGAGAAGAUUUGUCUGGAUUUAAAUGUGGUCUUGCAAAUCUCUUUUUGCAGCACACGAGUGCAUCAUUGACCAUCAAUGAAAACUACGACUCAGAUGUCAGGGCUGACACGGAAACUUUUCUCAACAGAGUUGUCCCAGAGGGAAGAUCUGCACCAUGGAAACAUACCAUUGAAGGUCCAGAUGAUAUGCCAGCACACAUUAAGUCAUCAAUGUUUGGGUGUGCUCUCACGAUACCAAUUACAGAUGGACAGCUUAACAUGGGAACUUGGCAGGUCAAUAGUAAACUCUUGGGGGAUAUGGCUGUGUGAGCAUCGUGAUGCACCUACUGCACGGAAAGUUGUCAUCACCCUAAAUGGAAUUUAAGGUGCAAACUUGUGUGAAGAUGCUAGCAACAUGGAAUAUAAUAAUGUAUGUAAUAUAAUGGCAAAGGGGCUUGAGAUUUGCUUAAGUCAUGAAUGUGACAAGUGGAAAUGACAUUAGUGAAUGAGGUUGUAUGCUUUGUAUGUUUUUUCUUUGAUAAAAAACUCAUGAUGUUGUGGGAAAAGUUAACGCAUGUUUGAUGCAUCUUGUUGCAUAAACUUUAUUUUAUUGUAUCAAAAUCAUCAACUUAUUAGGGCUUAUGGUUACAAAUCUAUAUAAUAACAAUGGCAAUUAGAAGACA
Molecule: RNA transcript, 1003 nt
Organism: Lactuca sativa (garden lettuce)
Lineage: Eukaryota; Viridiplantae; Streptophyta; Magnoliopsida; Asterales; Asteraceae
Gene name: secondary thiamine-phosphate synthase enzyme
Source: RefSeq, a predicted model, not a curated record